GAUGAACGCUGGCUACAGGCUUAACACAUGCAAGUCGAGGGGAAACGCCGGGGAAGCUUGCUUCCCCGGGCGUCGACCGGCGCACGGGUGAGUAACGCGUAUCCAACCUGCCUCUGACUGAGGGAUAACCCGUCGAAAGUCGGCCUAAUACCUCAUGGCAUCGUCUGCGGGCAUCCAACGACGAUUAAAGAUUUCAUCGGUCAGAGAUGGGGAUGCGUCUGAUUAGCUUGUUGGCGGGGUAACGGCCCACCAAGGCGACGAUCAGUAGGGGUUCUGAGAGGAAGGUCCCCCACAUUGGAACUGAGACACGGUCCAAACUCCUACGGGAGGCAGCAGUGAGGAAUAUUGGUCAAUGGGCGAGAGCCUGAACCAGCCAAGUAGCGUGCAGGAUGACGGCCCUAUGGGUUGUAAACUGCUUUUAUGCGGGGAUAAAGUGAGGGACGUGUCCUUCAUUGCAGGUACCGCAUGAAUAAGGACCGGCUAAUUCCGUG
Molecule: ribosomal RNA, 491 nt
Filed under: uncultured bacterium
Lineage: Bacteria
Description: partial 16S ribosomal RNA
Rfam family: Bacterial small subunit ribosomal RNA
Source: RNAcentral